GAUGAAGAACGUAGCGAAAUGCGAUACUUGGUGUGAAUUGCAGAAUCCCGUGAACCAUCGAGUCUUUGAACGCAAGUUGCGCCCGAAGCCACUAGGCCGAGGGCACGCCUGCCUGGGCGUCACACGUCGUUGCCCCCCCCCCAUCUACUCCUUCGGGAUUGCGGGGGGCGGAUGAUGGCCUCCCGUGCGCCUAGCCGCGCGGUUGGCAUAAAUACCAAGUCCUCGGCGACGCACGCCACGACAAUCGGUGGUUGCGAAACCUCGGUUGCCCGUCGUGUGCGUUCGUCGCGCAUCGAGGGCUCGAAGAAAUGCUCGGCUCCGGCUCGGCUUUCAACGCGACCCCAGGUCAGGCGGGGUUACCCGCUGAAUUUAAGCAUAUCAAUAAGCGGAGGA
RNAcentral lists this unclassified non-coding RNA (393 nucleotides) under soil metagenome. RNAcentral's name for it is "partial contains 5.8S ribosomal RNA, internal transcribed spacer 2, and large subunit ribosomal RNA". The stretch from base 1 to 122 matches the Rfam family "5.8S ribosomal RNA", at positions 35 to 154 of the family's 154-position model. The record is from RNAcentral.